Molecule: ribosomal RNA, 428 nt
Filed under: uncultured bacterium
Lineage: Bacteria
Description: partial 16S ribosomal RNA
Rfam family: Bacterial small subunit ribosomal RNA
Source: RNAcentral
GUGGGGAAUAUUGGGCAAUGGGCGCAAGCCUGACCCAGCAACGCCGCGUGAAGGAAGAAGGCUUUCGGGUUGUAAACUUCUUUUACCAGGGACGAAACAAAUGACGGUACCUGGUGAAUAAGCCACGGCUAACUACGUGCCAGCAGCCGCGGUAAUACGUAGGUGGCGAGCGUUAUCCGGAUUUAUUGGGUGUAAAGGGCGUGUAGGCGGGACAGCAAGUCAGAUGUGAAAACCAGAGGCUCAACCUCUGGCCUGCAUUUGAAACUGUUGUUCUUGAGUGUCGGAGAGGUAAUCGGAAUUCCGCGUGUAGCGGUGAAAUGCGUAGAUAUACGGAGGAACACCAGUGGCGAAGGCGGAUUACUGGACGAUAACUGACGCUGAGGCGCGAAAGCGUGGGGAGCAAACAGGAUUAGAUACCCUAGUAGUCC